This 276-nucleotide ribosomal RNA is filed under the name uncultured Lachnospiraceae bacterium. RNAcentral's name for it is "partial 16S ribosomal RNA". It matches the Rfam family "Bacterial small subunit ribosomal RNA", at positions 52 to 339 of the family's 1533-position model. Lineage: Bacteria; Bacillati; Bacillota; Clostridia; Lachnospirales; Lachnospiraceae. The record is from RNAcentral.
ACUUACAUUGAAGCCUAGCGAUGUGUAAGUUAGUGGCGGACGGGUGAGUAACGCGUGGGUAACCUGCCUUGUACUGGGGGACAACAGUUGGAAACGACUGCUAAUACCGCAUAAGCGCACAGUACCGCAUGGUACGGUGUGAAAAACUCCGGUGGUGUGAGAUGGACCCGCGUCUGAUUAGCUAGUUGGCAGGGCAACGGCCUACCAAGGCGACGAUCAGUAGCCGGCCUGAGAGGGUGAACGGCCACAUUGGAACUGAGACACGGUCCAAACUCC